This 169-nucleotide ribosomal RNA is filed under the name Goniopora pendulus. RNAcentral's name for it is "5.8S rRNA". It matches the Rfam family "5.8S ribosomal RNA". From Rfam's summary of the family: 5.8S ribosomal RNA (5.8S rRNA) is a component of the large subunit of the eukaryotic ribosome. It is transcribed by RNA polymerase I as part of the 45S precursor that also contains 18S and 28S rRNA. Lineage: Eukaryota; Metazoa; Cnidaria; Anthozoa; Scleractinia; Poritidae. The record is from RNAcentral.
GACAACUUUUGACGGUGGAUCUCUUGGCUCACGUAUCGAUGAAGAACGCAGCCAGCUGCGAUAAGUAGUGUGAAUUGCAGAAUUCAGUGAAUCAUUGAAUCUUUGAACGCAAAUGGCGCUYUUGGGUUYUCCCAGGAGCAUGUCUGUYUGAGUGUYGGAUWUYUUACGA